AUUGAACGCUGGCGGCAGGCCUAACACAUGCAAGUCGAGCGGAUGAAGGGAGCUUGCUCCUGGAUUCAGCGGCGGACGGGUGAGUAAUGCCUAGGAAUCUGCCUGGUAGUGGGGGAUAACGUCCGGAAACGGGCGCUAAUACCGCAUACGUCCUGAGGGAGAAAGUGGGGGAUCUUCGGACCUCACGCUAUCAGAUGAGCCUAGGUCGGAUUAGCUAGUUGGUGGGGUAAAGGCCUACCAAGGCGACGAUCCGUAACUGGUCUGAGAGGAUGAUCAGUCAGGGGGGGGGUGAGGCAGGGGGGAGGGUGGUAGGGGAGGGAGCAGUGGGGAAGGUUGGACGAGGGGGGAAAGCGGGAGCGAGUGAGGGCGGGUGUGUGAAGAAGGUGUUCGGAGGGGGGAGGGGGUUAGGGUGGGAGGAAGGGGAGUGAGUUGAUAGCUGGCUGUUUGGAGGGUACCGGGAGAAUAAGCGCCGGCUAACUUCGUG
Molecule: ribosomal RNA, 484 nt
Filed under: uncultured bacterium
Lineage: Bacteria
Description: partial 16S ribosomal RNA
Rfam family: Bacterial small subunit ribosomal RNA (bases 20-328)
Source: RNAcentral